CUUUACUGUAGCUUGGAAUUGAAUUUGGGUAUACUUUGCGCAGUAUAGGUGGGAGGAAAGAUAAUAUAUUUGCGGAUAUAUAGGAGCCACCAGUGAGAUACCACUCUAAGUAUACUAGAAUUCUAACUUUGAAUGCCGUUAACCGGCCAAAGAACAGUUUCAGGUGGGCAGUUUGACUGGGGCGGUCGCCUCCUAAAAAGUAACGGAGGCGUACAAAGGUUUCUUCAGGCUGGUCGGAAAUCAGUCUUAGAGUAUAAAGGCAUAAAGAAGCUUGACUGCAAGACCUACAAGUCGAGCAGAGACGAAAGUCGGUCUUAGUGAUCCGACAGUUCUGAGUGGAAAGGCUGUCGCUCAACGGAUAAAAGUUA
RNAcentral lists this ribosomal RNA (368 nucleotides) under Hypnea yokoyana. RNAcentral describes it as "partial 23S ribosomal RNA". It matches the Rfam family "Bacterial large subunit ribosomal RNA", at positions 2099 to 2465 of the family's 2925-position model. The record is from RNAcentral. Lineage: Eukaryota; Rhodophyta; Florideophyceae; Gigartinales; Hypneaceae.